UUUCCGUAGGCGAACCUGCGGAAGGAUCAUUAUUGUAUAACCGAGGUGCGAGGGCUGUCGCUGACCCGAAAGGUCGUGCACGCCCGAGUGCCCUCACACACAUCCAUCUCACCCCUAUGUGCACCACCGCGUGGGUCCCCCUUUGGCUUGUUCGGAGGGGGGCUUACGUUUUCACACAAACUUUGUAUGCAGUGUAGAAUGUAUUUUUUGUUUUUGCGAUCACGCAAUCAAUACAACUUCCAACAACGGAUCUCUUGGCUCUCGCAUCGAUGAGAACGCAGC
RNAcentral lists this unclassified non-coding RNA (282 nucleotides) under plant metagenome. RNAcentral describes it as "partial contains small subunit ribosomal RNA, internal transcribed spacer 1, and 5.8S ribosomal RNA". The record is from RNAcentral.